RNAcentral lists this ribosomal RNA (146 nucleotides) under uncultured bacterium. Its description in RNAcentral is "partial 16S ribosomal RNA". It matches the Rfam family "Bacterial small subunit ribosomal RNA", at positions 386 to 523 of the family's 1533-position model. The record is from RNAcentral.
AUCCAGCCAUGCCGCGUGUGUGAAGAAGGCCUUAUGGUUGUAAAGCACUUUAAGCGAGGAGGAGGCUACUCUAGUUAAUACCUAGAGAUAGUGGACGUUACUCGCAGAAUAAGCACCGGCUAACUCUGUGCCAGCAGCCGCGGUAA